This is a non-coding RNA of Vigna angularis (adzuki bean), 119 nucleotides long. The record is from Rfam. Lineage: Eukaryota; Viridiplantae; Streptophyta; Magnoliopsida; Fabales; Fabaceae.
AGGUGCGAUCAUACCAGCACUAAUGCACCGGAUCCCAUCAGAACUCCGCAGCUAAGCGUGCUUGGGCGAGAGUAGUACUAGGAUGGGUGACCUCCUGGGAAGUCCUCGUGUUGCACCUC